UUUGGGGGAAUUUAUUUAUCCUAAUAAAGGCAGAAGUUAUACUUAUUCUGCUUACUCCUACUAUAUAUUGAGACUUAGUAUUUCCACUACAUUUUAUAUAUAAUACUUAUUAAAAGUUACAUUUUAGCUGGGUUACUCGCUAUUGAGAGGGGUUCACCUACUAAAUGGUUCAACCUUUUGUUUCUCUUUUCUAUACUUUAGU
Non-coding RNA from Pelobates cultripes (western spadefoot toad), 202 nucleotides. The record is from the annotation of a GenBank genome assembly. NCBI's taxonomy places the organism in Eukaryota, Metazoa, Chordata, Amphibia, Anura, Pelobatidae.